RNAcentral lists this long non-coding RNA (5535 nucleotides) under Fragaria vesca (wild strawberry). Its description in RNAcentral is "long non-coding RNA (FVES_LNC001131)". Lineage: Eukaryota; Viridiplantae; Streptophyta; Magnoliopsida; Rosales; Rosaceae. The record is from RNAcentral.
UCUUGUAGAAUUAGGAAUAUAUGUACUCCUUGAAUCCUUAUCUGCUAUAUUGUCCUUAAAGCUUUAGGGUUGACGAUCUUGUGCAACGAAACUUGAGUUCUUCACAAAAGCUUGUAAUUCCAAGCAGAUUUGCUGAUCUGACCUUUCUUCAUUCAAACGAUCAUAACUCAGUCUAGAAGUAUCGAAAUCGAGAUCCGUAAAAUUCUAUAGAAAAUAGACAUCUGUAGCUUUCCAAUGAUAUAAGGCUCAUAAUCUGAUUCGAUCUCAGUAAUUCGGCGAAGUUGGAUGUUCUGCCCAGGCAGAUUUUAGGACUUGGGAUUGUAGUCGUCUUUCAAUCCUUAUUUGCGCAUUUUAUCUCUUUUUCUUCUCUCUAUGACACAAACCUUCAAGAACACUAAAAUAACAUAAAUAAGUCAUAAAGAAGAUAACUAAAUACAAAUCUCAAGCAUAAAAGGCUUAGAAAUAUAGGAUAAUAUGAGCAUAUCAAAAAUUGGCCGGAAAGUUAUAAUCCACCCACCGUAACUCUACGUCGUGAGUCGAGCUUCAAGACCAUCAUAAGUCGAACCAGGGCGCCCAACACUUCCUAUCCCUACCGGUUUUAAGCCUCGUCGCCACCGCCGGAGGUAGGAAUCCCGACCGGUCCUCCACCCGAAACUUCUAGGCUUCGAUUCGCACGAACCAUCAUGAAUCGGAGCAAGCCACCACCACAAGUAAGGAUGCGCCACCGAGAUGAAGCGUCUCCAACCGGUGCCGUCGGUCGGAGUUGGCUGAAAAAACCGGGUCCGGGUCGGGUCAGCUGGAGAAUUUGGAUUCUCUCGGGGUCAGGAAGAGAGAAGGAGAGGGGAAGAAAUGUGAUUUUGAAAAAAUGAGGACCCAAAACAAAAUUUUCCUAUUUAACCUAAAUAUUCCUGAAAAGUCACAACUUCCGCUGACCAUAACUUUCUCAUACGAAGUCUGUUUUAUGCGUGUCGCGUGUCUACGAACUUGUAUCGUCGUGCUCUACAACUUUCGUGAAGGAAGUUUCUCGAGAAACCCAACGAAUAAAAAGUCAACUCUAAGGCUGCUAAGGGGUCGCCUUCACUCGCUAUAGGUCUGCCUUGGCCCGCUUUGGGCUGCCUUAACUCGCCUUGGGCUGCCUUGACUCGGCUAAGGCCACAAAGGUGCCGCCUUCACCUAGCUAAGGCCGCAAGGUGUCGCAUUGACCCGCUAAGGGUCUGCCUUGACCUGCUUUGGGCUGUCUUGACCCUUCUUGGCCACCCCUUGCGCUGCCUUGACACGUCUAGGGCCACCUUGACCUGUUAUGGGCUGCCUUGACCUGUCUACGGCCGAUUUGGGCCGUCUUGACCCAUCUAGGGGCACCUUGACCCGCCUUAACCUGCCUUGGCCCGCCUGGACCCGCCUUGGGCUGCCUUGACCCGCCUAGACCCUCCUAGGGCCGCUAAGAGGCCGCCUUAGCCCAUCUAGGUCCACUAAGAGGCCGCCUUAACCCAUCUAGGGCGGCCAAGGGGCCGCGUUCACCUGUUUAAGACCGCCAAAGGGCCACCUUGGGCUGCCUUGACCCAUUUUAGGCCGCCUUGGGCUGUCUUUAUCUAGGGCCUCUAAGAGAUCGUCUUAACCCAUUUAGGUCCACUAAGAGGCCACCUUAACCCAUCUAUGGACGCCAAGGGCCGCGUUCACCCGUCGAAGGCCGCCAAGGGGGCCGCGUUUACCCAUUUUGACUUGCCAGGAGCUGCUUUGACCUUCCUAGACCCACCCAAGGCCGCCUUGCCCCUUCUAGGCCCUCCUAGGCCCGCCUAAACCACCAAGGGGCCGACUUGACCCUCCAAGGCCCUCCUAGGCCCGCUUACGGCCACUAAGGGGCCGCCUUUACCUGUUUUGGGCUACCUUGACCCGCCUUGACUCGUCUUGUGCCGCCUUAACCUGCCUUGGGCCCCCUUGACCCGUCUNNNNNNNNNNNNNNNNNNNNGCCUAGACCAUCCUUGGGCCGCUAAGAGGCCGCCUUAGCCCAUCUAGGUCCACUAAGAGGACGCCUUAACCCAUCUAGAGCGGCCAAGGGGCCGCGUUCACCCGUUUAAGCCUGCCAAGGGGCCACCUUGACCCGCCUUGGCCCACCUUGACCCCCUUAGGCCGCCUUGAUCCGCUUUGGGCCGCCUUGACCCGCCUUGGCCAACCUUGACCCGCCUUAGGCCUCCUUGACCCUCCUAGGGCCUCUUAAACCGCCUUAACUCUCCUAGGGUCUCCAAGAGGCCGCCUUAACCGAUCUAGGGCUACCAUGAGGCCGCCUUCACCCAUUUAGGACCACUAGGUUCCCGCCUUGACCCGUCUAAGGCUGCUAAGGGGGUCGCCUUCACUCGCUAUAGAUCUACCUUGGCCCGCUUUGGGCUGCCUUGACUCGGCUAAGGCCACAAAGGUGCCGCCUUCACCUAGCUAAGUCCGCAAGGUGUCGCCUUGACCCGAUAAGGGUCUGCCUUGACCGGCUUUGGGUUGCCUUGGUCACCCCUUACGCUACCUUGACAAGUCUAGGGCCACAUUGACCUGUUAUGGGUUGCCUUGACCCGUCUACGGCCGAUUUGGGCCGUCUUGACCCAUCUGGGGCACUUUGACCUGCCUGGACCCGCCUAGACCCUCCUAGGGCCGUUAAGAGGCCGCCUUAGCCCAUCUAGUUCUACUAAGAGGCCGCCUUAGCCCAUCUAGGUCUACUAAGAGGCCGCCUUAACCCAUCUAGGGCGGCCAAAGGGCCGCGUUCACCUGUUUAAGCCCGCCAAAAGGCCACCUUGGCCCAACUUGGGCUGCCUUGACCCAUCUUAGGCUGCCUUGGGUCGUCUUUAUCUAGGGCCGCUAAGAGAUCGCCUUAACCCAUCUAGGUCCACUAAGAGGCCACCUUAACCCAUCUAUGGACGUCAAGGGCCGCGUUCACCCGUCGAAGGCCGCCAAGGGCCGCGUUCACCCAUUUUGACUUGACAGGAGCUGCCUUGACCUUCCUAGGCCCGCCCAAGGCCGCCUUGCCCAUUCUAGGCCCUCCUAGGCCUGCCUAAACCACCAAGGGGCCGACUUGACCCUUCAAGGCCCUCCUAGGCCCGCCUACGGCAACUAAGGGGCCGCCUUUGCCUGCUUUGGGCUGCCUUGACCCGCCUUGGGCCGCCUUUACCAGUCUACGGCCGCCUUGGGCUGCCUUGACUCGUCUAGUGCAGCCUUAACCUGCCUUUACCCACCUUGGGCCGCCUAGACCCUCCAAGGGCCACUAAGAGGCCGCCUUAGCCCAUCUAGGUCCACUAAGAGGCCGCCUUAACACAUCUAGGGCGGCUAAGGGGCCGCGUUCACCCGUUUAAACCCACUAAGGGGCCACCUUAACCCGCCUUGGCCCACUUUGGGCCGCCAUGACCCGCCUUGACCCGUCUUGACCCGUCUUAGGCCGUCUUGACCCUCCUAAGGCCUCUUGAACCGCCUUAACUCUCCUAGGGCCGUCAGGAGGCCGCCUUAACCGAUCUAGGGCUACCAUGAGGCCGCCUUCACCCAUGUAGAACCACUAGGUGCCCGCCUUGACCCGUCUAAGGCUGCUAAGGGGUCGCCUUCACUUGCUGUAGGUCUGCCCUUGCCCGCUUUGGGCUGUCUUGACUCGGCUAAGGCCACAAAGGUGCCGCCUUCACCUGGCUAAGGCCGCAAGGUGCCUCCUUGACCCGCUAAGGGUCUGCCUUGACCCGCUUUGGGCUGCCUUGACCCUCCUUGGCCACCCCUUACGCUGCCUUGACACAUCUAGGGCCACCUUGACCUGUUAUGGGCUGCCUUGACCCGUCUACGGCCGAUUUGGGCCGUCUUGACCCAUCUAGGGGCGCCUUGACCCGUCUUAACCUGCCUUGGCCCGCCUGGACCCGCCAUGGGCUGCCUUGACCCGCCUAGACCCUCCUAGGGCCGCUAAGAGGCCAUCUUAGCCCAUCUAGGUCCACUAAGAGGCCGCCUUAACCCAUCUAGGGCGGCCAAGGGGUCGCAUUCACCUGUUUAAGCCUGCCAAAGGGCCACCUUGGCCCGACUUGGGCUGCCUUGACCCAUCUUAGGCCGCCUUGGGCCGCCUUUAUCUAGGGCCGCUAAGAGAUCGCCUUAACCUAUCUAGGUCCACUAAGAGGCCACCUUAACCCAUCUAUAGACGCCAAGGGCCGCGUUCACCCAUUUUGACUUGCCAGGAGCUGCCUUGACCUUCCUAGACCCGCCCAAGGCCGCCUUGCCCCUCCUAGGCUCUCCUAGGACUGCCUAAACCACCAAGAGGCCUACUUGACCCUCCAAGGCCCUCCUAGGCCCGCCUACGGCCACUAAGGGGCCGCCUUUGCUUGCUUUGGGCUGCCUUGACCCACCUUGGGCCACCUUUACCCGUCUACGGCCACCUUGGGCUGCCUUGACUCGUCUAGUGCAGCCUUAACCUGCCUUUACCCACCUUGGGCUGCCUAGACCCUCCAAGGGCCACUAAGAGGCCGCCUUAGCCCAUCUAGGUCCACUAAGAGGCCGCCUUAACCCGCCUUGGCCCACCUUGGGCUGCCUUGACCCGCCAUGGGCCGCCUUGACCCAUCUUGACCCGCCUUAGGCCGCCUUGACCCUCCUAAGGCCUCUUGAACCGCCUUAACUCUCCUAGGGCCGCCAAGAGGCCGCCUUAACCGAUCUAGGGCUACCAUGAGGCCGCCUUCACCCAUUUAGGACCACUAGGUGCCCGCCUUGACCCGUCUAAGGCUGCUAAGGGGGUCGCCUUCACUCGCUAUAGGUCUGCCUUGGCCCGCUUUGGGCUGCAUUGACCCUCCUUGGCCCCUCUUGCGCAGCCUUGACACGUCUAGGGCCACCUUGACCCGUCUACGGCCACUUUGGGCCGUCUUGACCCGUCUAGGGGCGCCUUAACCCGCCUUUACCUGCUUUGGCCCGCCUUUACCCGCUUUGGGCUUGCUUGACCCGCCUAGACCCUCAUAGGGCUGCUAAGAGGCUGCCUUAGCCCAUCUUGAGCUGCUUUGACCCGCAUUGGGUCUCCUUGACCCGCCUUUACCCUCCUAGGGCCACUAAGAGGCCGCCUUAACCCUUCUAGGGCGGCCAAGGGCCCACGUUCACCCGUUUAAGGCCGCCAAGGGGACACCUUGACCCUCAUAGGCCGCCUUGACCCGUCUAGGGUCGUAUUGACCGCCUAGGGCCUCUUGGGCCGCCUUGACCCUCCUAGGCCCUCCUAGACCUGCCUAGGACCACCUUGACCCGCCUUGGCCUGCUUUGGGCUGACUUAACCCACCAUGGGCUUCCUUGACCCGGCUACGACCGCUUUGGGCCGCCUUUAGUCGCCCUGACCCUCAUAGACCCUCCUUGGGCCGCUAAGAGGCCGCCUUAGCCCAUCCAGGUCCACUACGAGGCCGCCUUAACCCAUCUAGGGAGGCCAAGAGGCCGCGUUCACCCAUUUAAGCCCGCCAAGGGGUCACCUUGAUCCGCCUUGGCCUGGCUUGGGCUGCCUUAACCCGCCUUAACCUGCUUUGGGCUGCCUUUGGCCGACUUGACCCGCUUUGGGCCGCCNNNNNN